GGUAACGCGUGAGUAACCUGCCCAUAAGAGGGGGAUAACACAGAGAAAUCUGUGCUAAUACCGCAUAUUGAAUAUUUACCGCAUGGUUGAUAUUUGAAAGAUUUAUCGCUUAUGGAUGGACUCGCGUCUGAUUAGCUAGUUGGUGAGGUAAUGGCUCACCAAGGCGACGAUCAGUAGCCGAACUGAGAGGUUGAUCGGCCACAUUGGGACUGAGACACGGCCCAGACUCCUACGGGAGGCAGCAGUGGGGGAUAUUGCGCAAUGGGGGAAACCCUGACGCAGCAACGCCGCGUGAAGGAAGAAGGCCUUCGGGUUGUAAACUUCUUUUACCAGGGACGAAGAACGUGACGGUACCUGGAGAAAAAGCAACGGCUAACUACGUG
This 383-nucleotide ribosomal RNA is filed under the name uncultured bacterium. RNAcentral describes it as "bacterial SSU rRNA". It matches the Rfam family "Bacterial small subunit ribosomal RNA", at positions 109 to 507 of the family's 1533-position model. The record is from RNAcentral.